UACGGAGGGCGCAAGCGGUGUUCGGAAUUACUGGGCGUAAAGCGCGUGUAGGCGGCUUGGCAAGUCGGCUGUGAAAGCCCGGGGCUCAACCCCGGAGGGUCAGCCGAAACUGCCUCGCUCGGGUCCCGGAGAGGGUGGCGGAAUUUCCGGUGUAGAGGUGAAAUUCGUAGAUAUCGGAAGGAACACCAGUGGCGAAGGCGGCCUCCUGGACGGUGACUGACGCUGAGCCGCGAACGCGUGGGGAGCAAACAGG
Molecule: ribosomal RNA, 253 nt
Filed under: uncultured bacterium
Lineage: Bacteria
Description: partial 16S ribosomal RNA
Rfam family: Bacterial small subunit ribosomal RNA
Source: RNAcentral